GUGCCAGCAGCCGCGGUAAUACGUAGGCAGCAAGCGUUGUUCGGAGUUACUGGGCGUAAAGGGUGCGUAGGCGGCUUUUUAAGUUUGGUGUGAAAUCUCCUGGCUUAACCGGGAGGGUGCGCCGAAUACUGAGAAGCUAGAGUACGGGAGAGGAAAGUGGAAUUCCUGGUGUAGCGGUGAAAUGCGUAGAUAUCAGGAGGAACACCUGUGGUGUAGACGGCUUUCUGGACCGUAACUGACGCUGAGGCACGAAAGCGUGGGUAGCAAACAGGAUUAGAAACCCUGGUAGUCC
This 292-nucleotide ribosomal RNA is filed under the name uncultured bacterium. RNAcentral describes it as "partial 16S ribosomal RNA". It matches the Rfam family "Bacterial small subunit ribosomal RNA", at positions 505 to 796 of the family's 1533-position model. The record is from RNAcentral.